This 573-nucleotide ribosomal RNA is filed under the name Triticum aestivum (bread wheat). RNAcentral's name for it is "partial small subunit ribosomal RNA". Lineage: Eukaryota; Viridiplantae; Streptophyta; Magnoliopsida; Poales; Poaceae. The record is from RNAcentral.
AUUGGUGACUUUAAUGAGAUACUGACGAGUACGGAGAAAAUAGGAGGAGGAGCUUGACCCCAACACUAUCUUGAUGGCUUUCGGGAGGCUUUGCAGGCUUGUGAACUAGAGGACAUUGGAUUCAAAGGAGAUAUGUAUACAUGGAGAAAUCACAACAUUUGCGAGAGGUUGGAUAGAGCCACAGCAAACAAAGAGUGGUGUGCGCAGUUCCCGGAGUUUGCAGUUAUCAAUGGUCCACACAAACACUCCGAUCACAGGCCUAUUAUUGUUAACACUGAAACUAUGGAUGGAGAAUGGAGGCGAGGGGAUGGGACUUUUCGAUUUGAGGCCCGGUGGUUGCAGGAGGAUGGAUGUGAAGAUAUAAUUAGGGGAGCAUGGGACAGUAGUAGGGAAGCGGGUGAAGGAGGGGUAGCACAAUCGUUACGUAAGGUGGCCGGAGAUGUGAGCAAGUGGAGCAAGGAGGUGGUGGGGGAGUUGGAAGGAAGACUCAAAAAGGCAAGGAAAGAGUUGGAGAACUUCAUGCGAGAGGCGGUGUCAGAACAUAAAAUCAGAGAAGAGGCUAGGUUGAGAUGA